UACGUAGGGUGCGAGCGUUAAUCGGAAUUACUGGGCGUAAAGCGUGCGCAGGCGGCUUCGCAAGUCAGACGUGAAAUCCCCGGGCCUAACCUGGGAAUGGCGUUUGAAACUACGGAGCUGGAGUGUGGCAGAGGGAGGUAGAAUUCCACGUGUAGCGGUGAAAUGCGUAGAUAUGUGGAGGAAUACCGAUGGCGAAGGCAGCCUCCUGGGCCAACACUGACGCUCAUGCACGAAAGCGUGGGGAGCAAACAGG
This 253-nucleotide ribosomal RNA is filed under the name uncultured bacterium. RNAcentral describes it as "partial 16S ribosomal RNA". It matches the Rfam family "Bacterial small subunit ribosomal RNA", at positions 524 to 776 of the family's 1533-position model. The record is from RNAcentral.